Molecule: ribosomal RNA, 492 nt
Filed under: uncultured bacterium
Lineage: Bacteria
Description: partial 16S ribosomal RNA
Rfam family: Bacterial small subunit ribosomal RNA
Source: RNAcentral
AGUGAACGCUGGCGGUAGGCCUAACACAUGCAAGUCGAACGGCAGCACAGUAAGAGCUUGCUCUUACGGGUGGCGAGUGGCGGACGGGUGAGGAAUACAUCGGAAUCUACUUUUUCGUGGGGGAUAACGUAGGGAAACUUACGCUAAUACCGCAUACGACCUACGGGUGAAAGCAGGGGAUCUUCGGACCUUGCGCGAUUGAAUGAGCCGAUGUCGGAUUAGCUAGUUGGCGGGGUAAGGGCCCACCAAGGCGACGAUCCGUAGCUGGUCUGAGAGGAUGAUCAGCCACACUGGAACUGAGACACGGUCCAGACUCCUACGGGAGGCAGCAGUGGGGAAUAUUGGACAAUGGGCGCAAGCCUGAUCCAGCCAUACCGCGUGGGUGAAGAAGGCCUUCGGGUUGUAAAGCCCAUUUGUUGGGAAAGAAAAGCAGCAGGUUAAUACCCCGCUGUUCUGACGGUACCCAAAGAAUAAGCACCGGCUAACUUCGUG